Oreochromis aureus is the source of this 1452-nucleotide long non-coding RNA. RefSeq lists it as uncharacterized. The record is from RefSeq and is a predicted model, not a curated record. The transcript has 2 exons. NCBI's taxonomy places the organism in Eukaryota, Metazoa, Chordata, Actinopteri, Cichliformes, Cichlidae.
AAAAAUUAAGACAAGUCGUUUUUGGUGGUUUUGCCUGGGAUUGGACAUGUUUGUUUCAGUCUACAGUCGAUAGGGAGUACUUUUCCUCAAACCUCCACGCAAACUGAAUGCUGCUGAUGGUGACCUUGAAAUCCCAAUAGGAAUCAUCUUCAAUGGUGAAAACGGAAGUCCAGAGCAAGAACUGAACCCCUCCCAGCUGGAGAUCCUUCUAGAGGGCAAUGUGGUAAUGGAUUCCAUCUGCAGUCUUCCUUUGGCAAUGUGUCUCCUGUUUGGACUGACUUGUGCACUCCGCUUGGAGUACCCAAAGUGCAUGAAGAAUACAUUCCUGUUUAUCCAGCAGAUUAUGCUGAAUCUGGGACGAAACGAUCCUCCUCCAAAACUCCAAAGGCUAAAAAAUGAGCUUUCAAUGUGUGCAUAGAUACAUUGAAUGUUCACUCUUCAUUGAGCAGCUUUUUCUCAAGUUCAGGAAGUCAUUAUUGUGUUUGUAAUUGUCUUUUUUUGUUUUUAGUGGAUGGCAAAACCAGGGCUUAAAGGAGUAGUUCACUGAUUUUACAUACUGAGAUAUGUUCUUACCUUAGCUUUGAAGAGUUGAUGCAUACCUGUCUUGUCUUUGUGCGAGAGAAAGGCUCUCCCAUAUAUUCCAACUACCUCCACGUUUUGCUCCUUUUAGAAGCUACCGAGCUCCUCCACGUUUUCCCUAUUUAUGUAAAAUUACAUGAAAAGUUACACUAUCUAAGUUUAGUUUCACUAAAUUUAACGUAUAGAUUUUUUAAGCCGAUAAAAAGGGGCACUAUAUUACAAGUGCGCAGUAACCCUAGUGCACUCUGGAGCAUAGACUGAGUUACUGGGGGGAUGAAGAAGUGCUACUACAGUGUUAUUACACCUUGUAAUAUAGUACCCCUUGGAGGUAUUUGGAAUAUAUGGGAGAGGCUUUGCUCCAUUUGCAUGACUGAGGGCACGCACAAAGACAAGACUGGUACACAUCAACUCGUCAAAUCUAAGGUAAGAACAUAUCUUAUUAUGUAAAAUCAGUGAACUAUUCCUUUAAUUUCAUUGUCUCGCUGGGGCCAUUCCUUAUUCCAUAGUUUUUAUUUUUCCAAGUUAAAAUAUUUGUGAAAAUAAGUUUUACUGUUACAACUUGUUACCCAGAGUGUCGCACCAAAGUUCUUUAUUUGUGAUACACAGUUUUAUCUGUUUAAAAGGAUUGUUUUAAAGAAAAUGUUUUAUUGGAAGUCCAAUUGUGCAAACAAAAAACUUACUGUUCAAAAAAAACUACCUCAGAGACCACAAAUAAAUUCUUGUCAAAAAGUGGCUAGGAACAACUGAAAUAUUGUGUUUGUUUCUGAAAGAAAUGUCUUCUUAGAAGCGCCAUGUGUAAAAAUUGGAAUACUGUUCAAAGGAAAACAAAAGUCUUGUUUUGUUAUAAAUAAAGUAAAAAAAAAAAACAAGAAA